This 70-nucleotide transfer RNA is filed under the name Nephila pilipes (giant wood spider). Its description in RNAcentral is "tRNA-Lys". It matches the Rfam family "tRNA". From Rfam's summary of the family: Transfer RNA (tRNA) molecules are approximately 80 nucleotides in length. Their secondary structure includes four short double-helical elements and three loops (D, anti-codon, and T loops). Lineage: Eukaryota; Metazoa; Arthropoda; Arachnida; Araneae; Nephilidae. The record is from RNAcentral.
GGCUAGCUCAGUCGUAGAGCACGAGACUCUUAUAAUCUCGCGGUCGUGGGUUCGAGCCCCAUGUUAAAUA